GUUCAUUUUGUUAUUUUCACUACUAAAAUGAGAAAUUCAACAGGGUUGUGUCUUCACAAGGGACAUCAACAAAGCCAUUAUGAUCAGUGACGCCAUGGAAACUGGCACAGUUCAGAUCAACUCUGCACCAGCUCGAGGACCUGACCAUUUCCCCUUCCAGGGUUUGAAGGACAGUGGAAUUGGAUCUCAGGGGAUCACAAACAGUAUUAACAUGAUGACCAAGAUCAAGAGUACCGUUAUCAACCUGCCUUCCCCUUCGUACAGCAUUGGCUGAGGUUCUUAAUUACUAAUCUAUUACCGGACAAGAAAAUUGGUUCGAACUAAGGUAUGAGUUCUAAUGGCUUAUCCUCUUUGGAGGCAUUGUAAUUAUGGCUUGUAAAAAUAAAUUAGAACAUCUGUGAUUUGUCUUCUUUGCAGUCAUCUGCUUCUGUAAGUACCUAAUUUAUCUUACAGUAUUAAUGAGAAUACUGAGAUUUUUCUUUAU
Dendrobium catenatum is the source of this 484-nucleotide long non-coding RNA. RefSeq lists it as uncharacterized. NCBI's taxonomy places the organism in Eukaryota, Viridiplantae, Streptophyta, Magnoliopsida, Asparagales, Orchidaceae. The transcript has 2 exons. The record is from RefSeq and is a predicted model, not a curated record.